This 397-nucleotide long non-coding RNA is filed under the name Homo sapiens (human). Its description in RNAcentral is "non-protein coding lnc-ADGRF2-4:1". Lineage: Eukaryota; Metazoa; Chordata; Mammalia; Primates; Hominidae. The record is from RNAcentral.
GAAGAGGGUAUUGUUGCUGGAGAUGUAAUGGAUGUUAAUACUGCCACUGCUUUAUGGGAGGUUCAGAAGACCACCCUCAUCCACAGUAGCCUAGCAGUGAAAUUUGUGAAGCUGGCCAAGCCUUAGACAAGUGGCAAGCUCAUGUUUGUGUGCUUGCAUCCAACUGUGAUGAGCCUUUGUAUGUCAAGUUGGUGGAGGCCCUUGGUGCUGAACACCAAAUCAACCUAAUGAAGGUUGAUGACAACAAGCAACUGUAGGGGAAUGGGUAGGCCUCUGUAAAAUUGACAGAGAGAGAAAACCCUAUAAAGAAAUUGGUUGUGGUUGGGUAGUAGUUAAGGACUAUGGCAAAGAAUCUUACGCCCAGUAUGUCAUCGAAGAGUCCUUCAAAUGCAAGAAA